Long non-coding RNA from Lemur catta (Ring-tailed lemur), 480 nucleotides. RefSeq lists it as uncharacterized. The transcript has 4 exons. NCBI's taxonomy places the organism in Eukaryota, Metazoa, Chordata, Mammalia, Primates, Lemuridae. The record is from RefSeq and is a predicted model, not a curated record.
UUUGGUCUACAGAUUACAAUACCAACGCCAGAGCCCAAACCAGUAAAGAAUUAGGAGCGAGAAUCAUCUCUACCCACGAAGUCUGUAGUUUCUACAUGGAACCUGGUUCUCUUGCCAAAGAACUUGCUCUCCAAGACAGAUCUGUACGCAGCAGAGAGCCCUUUUGCGAGCCCUGAGGAGCCUGUGUUCUUCCCAAAUGAAAGACCGUCCCCCACACCCUGGGGUGGGCCAUAGACACAAGCAGAUGCUACAUCUGAAUAUUCAAUGUGACAUAUUCUGGAGAGAUGAUCGGUGAUCAAUGAUGUGCCUCAUGGGGGUUAUUGUGGCUUCAUCUCAUUCGCGUGACUUCUAGCUACCAUCUUCCUUCUCUCCCAGAUACGGUGUAAAAGACUACACAGGAGUCCUUUGCAAGCGCAGAGAUCUGCUUUGUCUUGCUGCCCCCCCAGACUACCUCAUAUGUAAGUUCCUCUUGCGUAAAUC